GGAUGACUUGUGAAUGGAGAAAGAGCUGGUGCUGGCGGAAAGGGGAUAACUCUGGUACUGGAAAAAGGGGAGAUUACACUGGGGUGAAAUCUGUCUGCUUUCAAAUUUGUUUUUCUCUGGAUGGGUAAAAAGAAUAAACUGGUGGAUUGGGACUCAGAUCAGAGACUUGGUAUCUAAAUGGGACAUGCCUGCUAAAUACGGAAAAGGAAACCAGAAAGAACCACCGUAACCUCAGAAUGCCCAAAAGACCAGGACAGAAGAGAGGAGGAGAUGUCUUUUCAAACCCCACAAGAUGAUAUGCAGAAAAACAGAAGAGGGAUGUGUGGUCUUUAGGAAAUACAUCAAGACACGUGGACAAGAUAUUCAUGAAAACAAUGAGACGAAAACAAACCUCUUUUUCAUGAUGCAAACGUGCUGGCGUCCAUGCUUGACCUCCUCGUGGCUGGAACUGAGAUGACUUCCACAACCUUGCAAUGGCUCAUCCUGCUGAUGCUAAAAUAGCCAGAGUUUCUAAGGACGAACAAUCACGAUUCUUUGCUCACCUCGAUGCUGCUAAUUCCAUGUGAGACAGCGAAUAAGUUUAACCCCAACCACUUUUUUGAUGCUGAUGGAAAGUUUGCAAAGACAGAAGCUUUCCUGAUUUUCUCCCCGGGUAACUAAAAGGGCCUGAUCCUGCAGGGAAGCAGCAUGCCUAG
Trachemys scripta elegans is the source of this 695-nucleotide long non-coding RNA. RefSeq lists it as uncharacterized. The transcript has 5 exons. NCBI's taxonomy places the organism in Eukaryota, Metazoa, Chordata, Testudines, Emydidae. The record is from RefSeq and is a predicted model, not a curated record.